This 254-nucleotide ribosomal RNA is filed under the name uncultured bacterium. RNAcentral's name for it is "partial 16S ribosomal RNA". It matches the Rfam family "Bacterial small subunit ribosomal RNA", at positions 524 to 776 of the family's 1533-position model. The record is from RNAcentral.
UACGUAGGGGGCUAGCGUUGUCCGGAAUCAUUGGGCGUAAAGCGCGUGUAGGCGGCCCGGUAAGUCCGCUGUGAAAGUCGGGGGGCUCAACCCUCGGAUGCCGGUGGAUACUGUCGGGCUCGAGUACGGAAGAGGCGAGUGGAAUUCCUGGUGUAGCGGUGAAAUGCGCAGAUAUCAGGAGGAACACCAAUUGCGAAGGCAGCUCGCUGGGACGUUACUGACGCUGAGACGCGAAAGCGUGGGGAGCAAACAGG